This 297-nucleotide signal recognition particle RNA is filed under the name Saimiri boliviensis boliviensis (Bolivian squirrel monkey). RNAcentral describes it as "Metazoan signal recognition particle RNA (ENSSBOG00000009835.1)". It matches the Rfam family "Metazoan signal recognition particle RNA". From Rfam's summary of the family: The signal recognition particle (SRP) is a universally conserved ribonucleoprotein. It is involved in the co-translational targeting of proteins to membranes. The eukaryotic SRP consists of a 300-nucleotide 7S RNA and six proteins: SRPs 72, 68, 54, 19, 14, and 9. Lineage: Eukaryota; Metazoa; Chordata; Mammalia; Primates; Cebidae. The record is from RNAcentral.
GCUGGCAUGGUGGUGCAUGCCUGUAGUCCCAGCUACACAGGAGGCUGAGGUGGGAGGAUCACUUGAGCCCAGGAGUUCUGGGCUGUAGUGCGCUAUGCCAAUCAGGUGUCCGCACUAAGUUUGGCAUCAUAUGGUGACCUCCUGGGAGCGGGGGGUUACCAGGUUGCCUAAGGAGGGGUGAACCGGCCCAGGUUGGAAAUGGAGCAGGUCAAAACUCCCGUGCUGAUCAGUAGUGGGAUCACGCCUGUGAAUAGCCACUGCAUUCUAGCCUGGGCAACAUAGUGAGAUCCUGUCUCU